RNAcentral lists this ribosomal RNA (422 nucleotides) under uncultured eukaryote. Its description in RNAcentral is "eukaryotic LSU rRNA". It matches the Rfam family "Eukaryotic large subunit ribosomal RNA", at positions 699 to 1110 of the family's 3401-position model. The record is from RNAcentral.
UUUAAAAACUAUAAGGCGAAAUGAAAGUGAUUAAUUUAUUAAAUUUGGGUUUAAGACUCAUUUUUGAAAUAAAGACUAGUUAAAUUUAGGUUUAAUUAAGUUUAAGCAUAUAUGAUGGGACCCGAAAGAUGAUGAACUAUGCUUGAACAGAGUGAAGUCAGGGGAAACUCUGGUGGAGGCUCGUAGCGAUACUGACGUGCAAAUCGUUCGUCUGAUUUGAGUAUAGGGGCGAAAGACUAAUCGAAUCAUCUGGUAGCUGGUUUUCUCCGAAAUUUCCCUCAGGAUAGCUGACAUUGAUAAUGUACAAUUUUAUAACGUAAAGCGCAUGAUUAGAAGUAUCUGGGUUGAAAUAAUUUAGACUGAUUCUCAAACUUUUGAAGUCGUAAGAAUUAAUAGUACCAUUUUGAUCUAUACUAUUAAUU